GACGAACGCUGGCGGCGUGCCUAAUACAUGCAAGUCGAACGCUUCUUUCCUCCCGAGUGCUUGCACUCAAUUGGAAAGAGGAGUGGCGGACGGGUGAGUAACACGUGGGUAACCUACCCAUCAGAGGGGGAUAACACUUGGAAACAGGUGCUAAUACCGCAUAACAGUUUAUGCCGCAUGGCAUAAGAGUGAAAGGCGCUUUCGGGUGUCGUUGAUGGAUGGACCCGCGGUGCAUUAGCUAGUUGGUGAGGUAACGGCUCACCAAGGCCACGAUGCAUAGCCGACCUGAGAGGGUGAUCGGCCACACUGGGAUUGAGACACGGCCCAGACUCCUACGGGAGGCAGCAGUAGGGAAUAUUCGGAAAUGGACGAAAGUCUGACCGAGCAACGCCGCGUGAGUGAAGAAGGUUUUCGGAUCGUAAACUCUGUUGUUAGAGAAGAACAAGGACGUGAGUAACUGAACGUCCCCUGACGGUAUCUAACCAGAAAGCCACGGCUAACUACGUG
RNAcentral lists this ribosomal RNA (507 nucleotides) under uncultured bacterium. RNAcentral describes it as "partial 16S ribosomal RNA". It matches the Rfam family "Bacterial small subunit ribosomal RNA", at positions 28 to 507 of the family's 1533-position model. The record is from RNAcentral.